ACUCAUCUGAUCUGUCUGCGGCAGAGGUUUUGACUCUAGGCCCUCUGGUGUGUGAGUUAGACCCAGCCUGGAUUUCCUCUCUGAACCCCGCGGCUCUGAACUCCACCCUGCAGGCUCUCGCCUCCUGUCAGUAUAUCCAGCAACAGCACAGAGAGCAUCUGUUCAGACUGCUUACGACCACCUAUGGGGACACUACUUUAUGGUCAGAGGAAGAUAUGAGGGUGCUUGGGCCACUUUUGUUACUUAAUGACACUGCCAUUGAAAAGCUGCCACCCAAAAGCUGGGUAAAGUCAUAUCUGUCAGACCUGAUGGACAGUUUGCCCAGUCAGCCUGUGGUUCCUCCUCCAAAGGAGUUCCGCUCUUGGUUUGAUCUCUCUGCACUUCAUCGCAAACUUUUUGACCUCAAAACGAGUAGCACACUACAAAACCGCAGGAAGCGUGAAGUGGUGUCCACUCCAAUAGAGCCCACGCUCCCAUAUAUUGAGGAUCUCAAACAGGGGAAUGUAUACUGGACUCCCACCCAGUUCAGUAAAAUGACUGUGCAGACUUUCAAAGAUGUUGUGCCAACAUUAGGAGAGAUAACCAACUACAGCACAGAACAACUGGCUGCACUCAGAGCAAAAACUCUGGAGGUACACACAAACACACACACACACACACAAAC
Molecule: long non-coding RNA, 664 nt
Filed under: Sinocyclocheilus grahami
Lineage: Eukaryota; Metazoa; Chordata; Actinopteri; Cypriniformes; Cyprinidae
Description: lncRNA (ENSSGRG00000015050.1)
Source: RNAcentral